This 78-nucleotide microRNA precursor is filed under the name Myotis davidii. RNAcentral describes it as "mir-9229 microRNA precursor family". It matches the Rfam family "mir-9229 microRNA precursor family". The record is from Rfam by way of RNAcentral. Lineage: Eukaryota; Metazoa; Chordata; Mammalia; Chiroptera; Vespertilionidae.
GAGACACCCUUAUGGGGCAGGACUUGUUUCAGUGGGGCUUUGGGGCUCACUGAGUCUGCCUGUUUUGAGCGUGUCACU